GAAUGAGAAGCAAAGGAUGCAAUUAGUUUCGACCUAAUUAUAUGGUAUAAAUUUACCCUCAUUUU
This 65-nucleotide transfer RNA is filed under the name Gyna capucina. Its description in RNAcentral is "tRNA-Arg". The record is from RNAcentral. Lineage: Eukaryota; Metazoa; Arthropoda; Insecta; Blattodea; Blaberidae.